This is a long non-coding RNA of Chiroxiphia lanceolata (lance-tailed manakin), 649 nucleotides long. RefSeq lists it as uncharacterized. NCBI's taxonomy places the organism in Eukaryota, Metazoa, Chordata, Aves, Passeriformes, Pipridae. The transcript is spliced from 3 exons. The record is from RefSeq and is a predicted model, not a curated record.
GGGCGCCGCACCUGAGGCGGCGGGAGGGCGGUGGGACCGUCUGUCCUUCAGGACCCUCAGCGAGCCCUACAGCCCUCUAAACGUCUGUGAAAUCGUGGUCUUCUUUUAAUGAAGAUAUUUCCUAAAUAGAUUCCAAGUGUCAACACCAAACCUUCCAAGUUCAUCAUAUAUUACUUGAUAUGCUAUAUUCUCGCCCCACUUGAUAUGGAGCUGAAUAAGUUUGAACUGAUCUUUAUGUUCAUUGACCUGGAUAUCAAAUGAAGUCUUCUGCCUUGGUAAGCCUCUUGUCAGUGAUGGGAUGGAAACUCAGUUCCCUGUGCCUUGCAAACUCAGGAAGAAUGGCCUGGAUGAGUGUACAGUGAGGUGGAUUGAGAACUGACUGAAUGGCAACCUCACAGGGUUGUGAUCAGUGGCACAGUUGCAGGGAUGAAGAGGUAGAUGCCUCCUCAGUGAGUUUACUGAUGAUACAUAACUGGGAGGACCCAUCCCCCCAAGUGCUCUGCCACCCUUCAGAAGACCCUGACAGGCCGGAGGGAUUGGCAGAGCAGAACAUUGUGAAAUUUCACAAAGGCAAAUGCAGGGUCUUGCACCCGGAGAAGAAUAACCCCAUGUACCAGGACAGGCUGGGGGCUGACCUGCUGGAAAACAG